Molecule: non-coding RNA, 347 nt
Organism: Bactrocera oleae (olive fruit fly)
Lineage: Eukaryota; Metazoa; Arthropoda; Insecta; Diptera; Tephritidae
Source: RefSeq, a predicted model, not a curated record
UCGGUAAGUUCAGCUCGACGGCAUUGUUUGAGCGCGCACUGCUUUGGAGGGCCGCAUAGAAUCCGCAUCAUCAACGGCGGCUUCAACAGUUGAGUAUGUGAAUUUGAGCGCGCCGGUUGUGUGAGCUGCGCACACGUUGAAUGAGAAAACGGAGGAUUAACUAGUAAACUAACGGCUCGUAUUGGAACCACGACGACGCAUAGUGACUAUAGGGCGUUCGAGAGAACAGUGCAUAGCUUCAUGACGUCAUGAACAUAAGGAAGAUUUAAGCCGUGGAUUUACUUCUUAUGAAAUUCGUACCAAUGCCAUGCAUAAUAUUCGUUUUGAAAAUCUUACGUUUUUUUAAA